Long non-coding RNA from Amphiprion ocellaris (clown anemonefish), 2061 nucleotides. The record is from Ensembl. Lineage: Eukaryota; Metazoa; Chordata; Actinopteri; Pomacentridae.
GGGGUGGCCAGCUGGGGGGGAGACCAGAGAGUAGAUGCACCCACAAGGAAGGAGAAAGAAAGCUGUCUCAUUUCCUUCUCUCUCAACCAGUCUAAGUCUUCACAACCAGCUCGCCACCUUCCACCUGAGCACCGAGGACAGAGGUAGACACCACCCGAACUGACUGUUUCCUUACACUCCCUAUACAAUGAGCUCUAACCAAUCUGCAACAAGCCGAACAAAUGUAACGCUCACUAUCUGAACUCCAUCCUUGAACUGACUAAACAGCAAUCACAUGCCACAAGUAACCCCUGAUCAAAUAUUUCUUUAUCCGUUUCUGCAGCUUUUAAUUUGCGUAUUGGGCCCCUGUCAGUGUCGGGUUCAGUGGUCAGAUGAUUGCAAGGACAUUCAUUUCAAGUGAUGCUAUAUGACCUCACAUUAAGCUACAGCUUCUGCUAUUCAUUUGGGUUAAUAGGGAACAAAUGGAGGACAUUUGUGGUAACACUUUGGCCUUCCCUUCCAUUUAGCAUUCAUAUAAACAUGGUUUGUAAUGUGAUAUAAUGUAGUUGUAGAUGGAUGUAAGGACAUUUUAAGUGAUUAUUGAUGAGCAUUUUUUGUCAAUAAUUCUAACUUCUAUGUGUUUUAAUAUGUUGUCAUGUGUUAUUUGUUUAUCUCCCAGCCUCAGGAAGUGUUACAGUUGCUGAAGAGUAAUAAUGUCUAUUUACAUCUACAUUAUAGAAUGUUAGAAACCAUUCAUGAAUGCUAAAUAGGGGGUUAAAGCAAAGUAUUACCCGUUUUUAAACUGUUAUAUCUCUUGCAGUCUUUGCACACUUGUAUAAGAAUAAUAAUGAAGAACUGAAAAAAAAAGAUGUCUAUUUUCCUAUGAAAUUCAAUGAGACGGAGAACAACAUACCUUCAAAAUUAAUCAAAUAAACAGUUUGUGGGGUUUAGUUAAACGGCAGAGUUAAAUAUUUAAUCAAAGCAACCAAGCCAGACUUAGGUUAGACAGUGUUUGCAAAUAGUUAUUUUUUUUCUUCCCAUUUCUAUAUGUGAAUUGCACAAGCACAAUUCAGUCGCUUAAUCAAUAUACUCAUGUUUCAGUGUAAUAGUCUAAAUGAUCUUUAAUCCACUGUCCUCACACACAAAAAACCUGCACAUGAGAAUGAAACUAAUUAUUUGCAAACAUCACUUGACCAGGUCUGUUUUCUAAGUCCUCCGAAGCAACAAACACUUAAAGGUUAUCACUGUUAUCGACCAAAAGCGAGGCUUCUGUGUGAAUAUGCAUGCAUCAUUGUGAUAACUGACCACAGAGGUCAUGUGUGUUGGCAUGACUUGUCUUUCCAGUUUGACACGAACCAAAUCACCAACCCUGUUUGUCUUUAACGUUAAUGUAAAGAUGAUCUCAUUGGAAUAAGAUUAAAGUGCACUUGAACAGAGCUGUGAAAAGGGUUGAAAAAACACGACCCUGUCUCCAUAUCAGAUGGCAGAUUGUGUGGUGUCCCCGUUAAACUUCGCCUGUGGUUGACCUCAUACGUGUUGCAGCCUUUGUUUGUGAAUCUGCGUUUCACCGAAUACAGUUAUUGUUUGCACUAAACUGAACUUGCCUGUUUUUACGAUGACUUUGUGUAUUUAUAUGUGUUGAAAUGCGUGCAAUAUUUAUUUUUUGUUUGUUUUGACAAUUUGAAAUAAACUGACUUCCACAGAUUACAUGUUAAAAAUCAUUAAAGAUGCAAUAAAUAGUCAUUUUAUUUUAUCAAUGGAUCACAUUAGUACUGGAGUAUGACAAAGGAUGCUUGUAAAUUAGAGCCCUAAGACAAUUUAGUGUUUUGUAUCGUUGGUUCACUGUCUACUUUUACAACAUUGUUUUCAGCAAGAGGCAAACCAAAUCAGUGACUAUACGGUGAAUGUAACAAAGCAUUCAGCCGCCACCAGUCAGGAAAUUCUCUCAGAAGUGAGCAGAGAGAAAGCUGAAUGUUUGACACAGAUUCACCAGGUGCCCUCCCAGAACUAUAAAUGCAGUCAUGAACAAAGAUUUACGUACACUUGUAAAGAAAGUGUAUCUCAUGGCAAUCUUGAGUUCCC